Molecule: ribosomal RNA, 540 nt
Filed under: uncultured archaeon
Lineage: Archaea
Description: bacterial SSU rRNA
Rfam family: Archaeal small subunit ribosomal RNA
Source: RNAcentral
CGGGGUGCACCAGGCGCGAAAACUUUACAAUGCUGGCAACAGCGAUAAGGGGACCUCGAGUGCCAGGAUACAAUCUUGGCUGUCGUGAUGCCUAAAAAGCAUUGCAUAGCAAGGGCCGGGCAAGACCGGUGCCAGCCGCCGCGGUAACACCGGCGGCUCGAGUGGUAACCGCUAUUAUUGGGUCUAAAGGGUCUGUAGCCGGCCGGAUAAGUCUCUUGGGAAAUCCGACAGCUCAACUGUCGGGCUUUCAGGGGAUACUGUUCGGCUCGAGGCCGGGAGAGGUGAGAGGUACUUCAGGGGUAGGGGUGAAAUCUUGUAAUCCUUGAAGGACCACCAGUGGCGAAGGCGUCUCACCAGAACGGUCCUGACAGCAAGGGACGAAAGCUAGGGGCACGAACCGGAUUAGAUACCCGGGUAGUCCUAGCCGUAAACGAUACUCGCUAGGUGUCGGCCACGGUGCGACCGUGGUCGGUGCCGUAGGGAAGCCGUGAAGCGAGCCACCUGGGAAGUACGGCCGCAAGGCUGAAACUUAAAGGAAUG